RNAcentral lists this ribosomal RNA (1318 nucleotides) under metagenome. Its description in RNAcentral is "bacterial LSU rRNA". It matches the Rfam family "Bacterial large subunit ribosomal RNA", at positions 1564 to 2895 of the family's 2925-position model. The record is from RNAcentral.
UGAGUACGAGAUGCUACGGCAUCGAAGCAGUCUAUGUCAUACUUCCAAGAAAAGCUUGCACUGUCAGAAACAGAUAAUGCCUGUACCAUAACCGACACAGGUGGGUAGGUAGAGUAUACUAAGGGGCGCGAGAUAACUCUCUCUAAGGAACUCGGCAAAAUGACUCCGUAACUUCGGGAGAAGGAGUGCCUUAUUUUUAAGGUUGCAAUAACAAGAUCCAAGCAACUGUUUACCAAAAACACAGGUCUCCGCUAAGUCGUAAGACGAUGUAUGGGGGCUGACGCCUGCCCAGUGCCAGAAGGUUAAAGAAGUCGGUUAGCAUUCGCGAAGCUGGUAACUGAAGCCCUGGUGAACGGCGGCCGUAACUAUAACGGUCCUAAGGUAGCGAAAUUCCUUGUCGGGUAAGUUCCGACCCGCACGAAAGGCGUAAUGAUUUGGAUACUGUCUCGGAGAGGGGCUCGGUGAAAUAGACUUGUCUGUGAAGAUGCGGACUACCUGCACCUGGACAGAAAGACCCUAUGAAGCUUUACUGUAACUUGAAAUUGAAAUUGGACUUUAUUUGCGCAGUAUAGGUGGGAGGCGUUGAAAAUAUUCUUGCGGGAAUAUUGGAGCCAUCAGUGAGAUACCACUCUUGUAAUGUUAGAUUUCUAACUUUAUAUCAUUAUCUGGUUAAAGAACAGUUUCAGGCGGGCAGUUUGACUGGGGCGGUCGCCUCCCAAAUGGUAACGGAGGCGCACAAAGGUUUCCUCUGAACGGGUAGAAAUCGUAUCUAGAGUGUAAAGGCAUAAGGAAGCUUGACUGUGAGACCUACAAGUCGAGCAGGGACGAAAGUCGGUCUUAGUGAUCUGACGGUGCUGAGUGGAAAGGCCGUCACUCAACGGAUAAAAGUUACUCUAGGAUAACAGGCUGAUCUCCCCCAAGAGUUCACAUCGACGGGGAGGUUUGGCACCUCGAUGUCGGCUCAUCGCAUCCUGGGGCGGUAGUACGUCCCAAGGGUUGGGCUGUUCGCCCAUGAAAGCGGUACGCGAGCUGGGUUCAGAACGUCGUGAGACAGUUCGGUCCAUAUCCGGUGUAGGCGUUAGAAUAUUGAGAGGAGCCUUCUUUAGUACGAGAGGACCGAGAAGGACAUACCUCUGGUGUACCAGUUAUCGUGCCAACGGUAAACGCUGGGUAGCUAUGUAUGGAGUGGAUAACCGCUGAAAGCAUCUAAGUGGGAAGCCCACCUCAAGAUGAGUACUCUCACCAUAUUGGUUAAGGUCACGGGAAGAACACCCGUUGAUAGGCAUCAGGUGGAAGUGCAGUAAUGUAUGAAGCCGAA